GGAGUGGGAGGUGGAGGGCCUGGCGGAGUUAGUUGAGAAGGGGAAGGAAGGUUAAGUUGGAGAUCAGAGAGGAGUGCGAGGGAAGUAAGGCAGUGAAGAGUAAAAAGCUGCAGACCCUUGCUGAGUUAGUUGAGAAGGGAAGGAAGGUUAUGUUAGAAGUCAGAGAGGAGUGGGAGGUAUACAGGACCUGGCGGAGUUAGUUGAAAAGGGAAGGAAGGUGAAGUCGGGAGUUAGAGAAGAGUGCGAGGGAAGUAAAGUGAGGAAGAGUAAAAAGCUGCAGACCUUUGCUGAGUUUGUUGAGAGGGGAAGGAAUGAUUGCAUGGGAAGGAGGAGGUAUACAGACCCUUGUUGAGUUAGUUGAGAGGGGAAGGAAUGAUUGCAUGGGAAGGAGGAGGUAUACAGACCCUUGCUGAGUUAGUUGAGAGGGGAAGGAAUGAUUGCAUGGGAAGGAGGGGGUAUACAGACCCUUGCUGAGUUAGUUGAGAGGGGAAGGAAUGAUUGCAUGGGAAGGAGGGGGUAUACAGACCCUUGCUGAGUUAGUUGAGAGGGGAAGGAAUGAUUGCAUGGGAAGGAGGGGGUAUACAGACCCUUGCUGAGUUAGUUGAGAGGGGGAA
Molecule: long non-coding RNA, 614 nt
Organism: Eriocheir sinensis (Chinese mitten crab)
Lineage: Eukaryota; Metazoa; Arthropoda; Malacostraca; Decapoda; Varunidae
Exons: 3
Source: RefSeq, a predicted model, not a curated record